RNAcentral lists this small nucleolar RNA (128 nucleotides) under Myotis brandtii (Brandt's bat). Its description in RNAcentral is "Small nucleolar RNA SNORA42/SNORA80 family". It matches the Rfam family "Small nucleolar RNA SNORA42/SNORA80 family". Rfam says of the family: The members of this family belong to the H/ACA class of snoRNAs that guide the sites of modification of uridines to pseudouridines. Human ACA42 (SNORA42) was cloned from HeLa cells by immunoprecipitation with anti-GAR1 antibody. The record is from Rfam by way of RNAcentral. Lineage: Eukaryota; Metazoa; Chordata; Mammalia; Chiroptera; Vespertilionidae.
GCAUGGGCUUGGACUCAUGGCAGGCCCGUCCCCUGGGUCUCAUCGUGCCCCGUGCCAGAGCCAACUGGCCUGGAACCACUGCCCAGCUCUGCCAGUGGGCUGCAGGCACUGAAACGGGUUACACAGUG